RNAcentral lists this ribosomal RNA (253 nucleotides) under uncultured bacterium. Its description in RNAcentral is "partial 16S ribosomal RNA". It matches the Rfam family "Bacterial small subunit ribosomal RNA", at positions 524 to 776 of the family's 1533-position model. The record is from RNAcentral.
UACGGGGGGUGCAAGCGUUAUUCGGAAUCACUGGGCGUAAAGGGUGCGUAGGCGGUGCAUUAGGUCUGUCGUGAAAUCCCCGGGCUCAACCUGGGAAUGGCGGUGGAAAACGGUGUUCUAGAGUAUUGGAGAGGGUGGUGGAAUUCCAGGUGUAGCGGUGAAAUUCGUAGAGAUCUGGAGGAACAUCAGUGGCGAAGGCGGCCACCUGGCCCAAUACUGACGCUGAGGCACGAAAGCGUGGGGAGCAAACAGG